GAUGAAGAACGUAGCGAAAUGCGAUACGUAGUGUGAAUUGCAGAAUUCAGUGAAUCAUUGAAUCUUUGAACGCACAUUGCACCUCUCGGUAUUCCGGGAGGUAUGCCUGUUCGAGCGUCAUUUCAACCCUCAAGCUCAGCUUGGUAUUGAGUCCAUGUCAGUAAUGGCAGGCUCUAAAAUCAGUGGCGGCGCCGCUGGGUCCUGAACGUAGUAAUAUCUCUCGUUACAGGUUCUCGGUGUGCUUCUGCCAAAACCCAAAUUUUCUAUGGUUGACCUCGGAUCAGGUAGGGAUACCCGCUGAACUUAAGCAUAUCAAUAAGCGGAGGA
This 327-nucleotide unclassified non-coding RNA is filed under the name soil metagenome. Its description in RNAcentral is "partial contains 5.8S ribosomal RNA, internal transcribed spacer 2, and large subunit ribosomal RNA". The stretch from base 1 to 120 matches the Rfam family "5.8S ribosomal RNA", at positions 35 to 154 of the family's 154-position model. The record is from RNAcentral.